Molecule: ribosomal RNA, 495 nt
Filed under: uncultured bacterium
Lineage: Bacteria
Description: partial 16S ribosomal RNA
Rfam family: Bacterial small subunit ribosomal RNA
Source: RNAcentral
GACGAACGCUGGCGGCGUGCCUAAUACAUGCAAGUAGAACGCUGAAGGUGGAGCUUGCUUCUCUGGAUGAGUUGCGAACGGGUGAGUAACGCGUAGGUAACCUGCCUUGUAGCGAGGGAUAACUAUUGGAAACGAUAGCUAAUACCGCAUAAGAGUAGAUGUUGCAUGACAUUUGCUUAAAAGGUGCAAUUGCAUCACUACCAGAUGGACCUGCGUUGCAUUAGCUAGUUGGUGGGGUAACGGCUUACCAAGGCGACGAUACAUAGCCGACCUGAGAGGGUGAGAGGCCACCCUGGGAAUUAGGCACGGCCCACAAGACUGGGAGUGGCAGCAGGAGCGAAACUUCGGCGAUGGCUGGAAGUCUGAACGUGCAACGCCGCGUGAGGGAAGAAGGCUUUCGGGACGUGUAACUCGGUUGUAUGAGAGGAAAGAGUGUGAGAGUGGAAAGUUCACACAGUGACGGUAUCUUACCAGGAAGGGACGGCUAACUACGUG